UACGUAGGGUCCGAGCGUUGUCCGGAAUUAUUGGGCGUAAAGGGCUCGUAGGCGGUCCGUCACGUCGGGAGUGAAAACUCAGGGCUCAACCCUGAGCGUGCUUCCGAUACGGGCGGACUAGAGGUAUGCAGGGGAGAACGGAAUUCCUGGUGUAGCGGUGGAAUGCGCAGAUAUCAGGAGGAACACCGGUGGCGAAGGCGGUUCUCUGGGCAUUACCUGACGCUGAGGAGCGAAAGCGUGGGUAGCGAACAGG
This 253-nucleotide ribosomal RNA is filed under the name uncultured bacterium. Its description in RNAcentral is "partial 16S ribosomal RNA". It matches the Rfam family "Bacterial small subunit ribosomal RNA", at positions 524 to 776 of the family's 1533-position model. The record is from RNAcentral.